Molecule: ribosomal RNA, 253 nt
Filed under: uncultured bacterium
Lineage: Bacteria
Description: partial 16S ribosomal RNA
Rfam family: Bacterial small subunit ribosomal RNA
Source: RNAcentral
GACGAACCGUGCAAACGUUAUUCGGAAUCACUGGGCAUAAAGGGCGCGUAGGCGGCUUUCUAAGUCAGGGGUGAAAUCCGACAGCUCAACUGUCGCAGUGCCUUUGAUACUGGAGAGCUCGAGGGAGGUAGGGGUCUGUGGAACUUCCGGUGGAGCGGUGAAAUGCGUUGAUAUCGGAAGGAACGCCGGUGGCGAAAGCGACGGACUGGAUCUCUUCUGACGCUGAGGCGCGAAGGCCAGGGGAGCAAACGGG